AGGGGAGAGUGGAAUUCCAUGUGUAGCGUUGAAAUGCGUAGUAUAGGAGGAACACCGUUGCCGAAAGCGGCUCCUCUGGUCUGUAACUGACGCUGAGGCUCGAAAGCGUGGGGAGCGAACAGGAUUAGAUACCCUGGUAGUCCACGCCGUAAACGAUGAGUGCUAGGUGUUAGGUCCUUUCCGGGACUUAGUGCCGCAGCUAACGCAUUAAGCACUCCGCCUGGGGAGUACGACCGCAAGGUUGAAACUCAAAGGAAUUGACGGGGGCCCGCACAAGCGGUGGAGCAUGUGGUUUAAUUCGAAGCAACGCGAAGAACCUUACCAGGUCUUGACAUCCCGAUGCUAUUUCUAGAGAUAGGAAGUUUCUUCGGAACAUCGGUGACAGGUGGUGCAUGGUUGUCGUCAGCUCGUGUCGUGAGAUGUUGGGUUAAGUCCCGCAACGAGCGCAACCCUUAUUGUUAGUUGCCAUCAUUGAGUUGGGCACUCUAGCGAGACUGCCGGUAAUAAACCGGAGGAAGGUGGGGAUGACGUCAAAUCAUCAUGCCCCUUAUGACCUGGGCUACACACGUGCUACAAUGGCUGGUACAACGAGUCGCAAGCCGGUGACGGCAAGCUAAUCUCUGAAAGCCAGUCUCAGUUCGGAUUGUAGGCUGCAACUCGCCUACAUGAAGUCGGAAUCGCUAGUAAUCGCGGAUCAGCACGCCGCGGUGAAUACGUUCCCGGGCCUUGUACACACCGCCCGUCACACCACGAGAGUUUGUAACACCCGAAGUCGGU
RNAcentral lists this ribosomal RNA (777 nucleotides) under Streptococcus anginosus. RNAcentral describes it as "bacterial SSU rRNA". It matches the Rfam family "Bacterial small subunit ribosomal RNA", at positions 653 to 1431 of the family's 1533-position model. Lineage: Bacteria; Bacillati; Bacillota; Bacilli; Lactobacillales; Streptococcaceae. The record is from RNAcentral.